GAAAUGCGAUAAUUAAUGUGAAUUGCAGAAUUCAGUGAAUCAUCGAGUCUUUGAACGCACAUUGCGCCCCCAGGUAUUCCGGGGGGCAUGCCUGUCCGAGCGUCAUUGCUGCCCUCAAGCACGGCUUGUGUGUUGGGCUUCCGUCCCUGGCAACGGGGACGGGCCCAAAAGGCAGUGGCGGCACCAUGUCUGGUCCUCGAGCGUAUGGGGCUUUGUCACCCGCUCCCGUAGGUCCAGCUGGCAGCUAGCCUCGCAACCAAUCUUUUUAACCAGGUUGACCUCGGAUCAGGUAGGGAUACCCGCUGAACUUAAGCA
Molecule: unclassified non-coding RNA, 315 nt
Filed under: plant metagenome
Description: partial contains 5.8S ribosomal RNA, internal transcribed spacer 2, and large subunit ribosomal RNA
Rfam family: 5.8S ribosomal RNA (bases 1-105)
Source: RNAcentral